RNAcentral lists this transfer RNA (74 nucleotides) under Parabacteroides sp. PH5-33. RNAcentral's name for it is "tRNA-Arg". It matches the Rfam family "tRNA". From Rfam's summary of the family: Transfer RNA (tRNA) molecules are approximately 80 nucleotides in length. Lineage: Bacteria; Pseudomonadati; Bacteroidota; Bacteroidia; Bacteroidales; Tannerellaceae. RNAcentral also lists the same sequence under 12 other names. The record is from RNAcentral.
GGUCGGGUAGCUCAGUUGGAUAGAGCAACAGCCUUCUAAGCUGUGGGUCUUGGGUUCGAAUCCCAACCUGAUCA